GGUGAGUAAUGCCUGGGAAUAUGCCUUGAUGUGGGGGAUAACUAUUGGAAACGAUAGCUAAUACCGCAUAAUGCCUACGGGCCAAAGAGGGGGAUCUUCGGACCUCUCGCGUCAAGAUUAGCCCAGGUGGGAUUAGCUAGUUGGUGGGGUAAUGGCUCACCAAGGCGACGAUCCCUAGCUGGUUUGAGAGGAUGAUCAGCCACACUGGAACUGAGACACGGUCCAGACUCCUACGGGAGGCAGCAGUGGGGAAUAUUGCACAAUGGGGGAAACCCUGAUGCAGCCAUGCCGCGUGUAUGAANAANGCCUUCGGGUUGUAAAGUACUUU
Molecule: ribosomal RNA, 328 nt
Filed under: Vibrio sp. I8N3
Lineage: Bacteria; Pseudomonadati; Pseudomonadota; Gammaproteobacteria; Vibrionales; Vibrionaceae
Description: bacterial SSU rRNA
Rfam family: Bacterial small subunit ribosomal RNA
Source: RNAcentral